RNAcentral lists this ribosomal RNA (403 nucleotides) under uncultured bacterium. RNAcentral's name for it is "partial 16S ribosomal RNA". It matches the Rfam family "Bacterial small subunit ribosomal RNA", at positions 30 to 526 of the family's 1533-position model. The record is from RNAcentral.
AUUGAACGCUGGCGGCAUGCCUAACACAUGCAAGUCGAGCGAGCGGCGGACGGGGGAGUAAUGUAUGGGGACUGCCCGCCAGCUGGGGAUAACUCCUGGAAACGGUAGCUAAUACCGCAUACCAUCGGAUACCCCAUAUGGGAUUAGCGAGUAGGUGAGGUAAUGGCCCACCUAGGCCACGAUCCCUAGCUGGUCUGAGAGGAUGAUCAGCCACACUGGGACUGAGACACGGCCCAGACUGCUACGGAGGCAGCAGUGGGGAAUAUUGCAGAAUGGGAGCAAGCCUGAUGCAGCCAUGCCGGGUGUAUGAAGAAGGCCCUAGGGUUGUAAAGUACUUUCAGUCGGGAGGCGUUACCGACAGAAGAAGCACCGGCUAACUCCGUGCCAGCAGCCGCGGUAAUUC